Molecule: ribosomal RNA, 468 nt
Filed under: uncultured bacterium
Lineage: Bacteria
Description: partial 16S ribosomal RNA
Rfam family: Bacterial small subunit ribosomal RNA
Source: RNAcentral
GACGAACGCUGGCGGCGUGCUUAACACAUGCAAGUCGAACGGAAAGGCCCUGCUUUUGUGGGGUGCUCGAGUGGCGAACGGGUGAGUAACACGUGAGUAACCUGCCCUUGACUUUGGGAUAACUUCAGGAAACUGGGGCUAAUACCGGAUAGGAGCGCCUGCUGCAUGGUGGGGGUUGGAAAGUUUCGGCGGUUGGGGAUGGACUCGCGGCUUAUCAGCUUGUUGGUGGGGUAGUGGCUUACCAAGGCUUUGACGGGUAGCCGGCCUGAGAGGGUGACCGGCCACAUUGGGACUGCGAUACGGCCCAGACUCCUACGGGAGGCAGCAGUGGGGAAUAUUGCCCAAUGGGCGGAAGCCUGAUGCAGCAACGCCGCGUGCGGGAUGACGGCCUUCGGGUUGUAAACCGCUUUCGCCUGUGACGAAGCGUGAGUGACGGUAAUGGGUAAAGAAGCACCGGCUAACUACGUG